Molecule: ribosomal RNA, 380 nt
Filed under: uncultured archaeon
Lineage: Archaea
Description: bacterial SSU rRNA
Rfam family: Archaeal small subunit ribosomal RNA
Source: RNAcentral
AAACUUCGCAAUGCGCGAAAGCGUGACGAGGUUAGCCCGAGUGCCGUCCGCUGAGGAUGGCUUUUCUUUGGUGUAAGGAGCCAGGGGAAUAAGAGGAGGGUAAGUCUGGUGUCAGCCGCCGCGGUAAUACCAGCUUCUCGAGUGGUGGGGGCGAUUAUUGGGCCUAAAGCGUCCGUAGCCAGCUUGUUAAGUCCUUCGUAAAAUCCGGCGAUUUAAUCGUUGGUUCGCGGAGGAUACUGUCAAGCUAGGGGGCGGAAGAGGCUGGCGGUAUUCUUAGGGUAGGGGUGAAAUCCUAUAAUCCUAGGAGGACCACCAGUGGCGAAGGCGGCCAGCUAGAACGCGCCCGACGGUGAGGGACGAAAGCUGGGGGAGCAAACCGG